CAGCAGCCACGUAAUACGGAGGGUGCAAGCGUUAAUCGGAAUUACUGGGCGUAAAGCGCACGCAGGCGGUCUGACAAGUCAGAUGUGAAAUCCCCGGGCUUAACCUGGGAACUGCAUUUGAAACUGUCAGGCUGGAGUCUUGUAGAGGGGGGUGGAAUUCCAGGUGUAGCGGUGAAAUGCGUAGAGAUCUGGAGGAAUACCGGUGGCGAAGGCGGCCCCCUGGACAAAGACUGACGCUCAGGUGCGAAAGCGUGGGGAGCAAACAGGAUUAGAUACCCGCGUAGUCCCUGUCUCUUAUACA
This 301-nucleotide ribosomal RNA is filed under the name uncultured bacterium. RNAcentral describes it as "partial 16S ribosomal RNA". It matches the Rfam family "Bacterial small subunit ribosomal RNA", at positions 509 to 808 of the family's 1533-position model. The record is from RNAcentral.